Molecule: long non-coding RNA, 1142 nt
Filed under: Panthera leo (lion)
Lineage: Eukaryota; Metazoa; Chordata; Mammalia; Carnivora; Felidae
Description: lncRNA (ENSPLOG00000003389.1)
Source: RNAcentral
GUGGGACCCGGGGGGCCCUGCGGCCGGUGUGUCCUGCUCUGGUGGGGGCCUGUGCUCCCCAGGAGGGGCUGGAGGGCAGAGGGGGAAGCCCUGGGAGUUUCUGGGGUCUGGGGCUGGCCCUGCAUGGUCCCCUGGUGACUCUCUUGGUGGCCUGGGGCAGGGUGUCACCAAUGUGCCCUGGCUUUCACCGUGCUGGAGGCACUGCUCAGCCCGGCAGCCCUCUCCACUCUCAGACUUGCUUAGCUGAAACUACACAGACUUGUAGAAUUUAGCUUUUAAUUGUGGCAAAAUAGGGGCACUCGGGUGGCUCUGUCUGUCAAGCGUCGGGCUCUUAUUUCAGCCCUGGGCACGAUCUCACAGUGCGUGGGAUCGAGCCCCGCAUCGGGCUCUGUGCGGAUGAUGUGGAGCCUGCUUGGGAUCCCUUCUCUCCUUCUCUCUCUGCCCCUCCCCUGCUCGUUCUCUCUCUCUUUCUCAAAAUAAAUAAAAAUAAACUUAAAAGAAAUAAUUGUGGCGAAACGUACAAAACACAAAAAUUUCCGAGCAUCUACACUGAUGCAGCCGACCCACCGGCCAUCACGUCACCCUCCCAAACCGGAGCUCUGUCCCCAGGAAACACGCCCUCCCUGCCCUGUCUGACCUCCAGGCCUCGGGGGCCCUGGGGGGAGCCGAAUGGGUGCUCUUGGACGCCUUCCUUGUCUUUACCGUGGUUUUACCACUGCGCUGGAGACUUGGGCUGGCCUGUCUCCUGUCUUCCUGCGAGCUGCCCGCCGCCCCACGCCCUCCUGUGCCUGCCCUUGGCCAUCCAGAAACGCCCCGGACACGUUCGGCAGCCACUGGCUGGCUCCCACUUGGCGUCUGCAUCUCGGUGGCCCCCUCCCCGCCUUGCCGUCCCUCUGGCUCCCCUCCUGCACGCAGAGGCUGGGGCUGCUCCCAGGACGCGGGGGUCCGGCUCCCCUGCCCCUCAGAUGGUACCCACCCCGCCCGUCGGCUGGUGUGGCACACGGCCACGGAGUCUCGCCGUGCUGUGUUUGCUCGGACGGAGGUGUUUGAGUUCCAAACACCUGCAGCCCCACCUGGUGCCGCCUGGGCGGGUCCAAGCGGGCGCAGGGGCUCUGCCUCCCGGAGCCACGAGGCACGGCUUU